GUAGGGGGCUAGCGUUAUCCGGAUUUACUGGGCGUAAAGGGUGCGUAGGCGGUCUUUCAAGUCGGUGGUUAAAGGCUACGGCUCAACCGUAGUUAGCCUCCGAAACUGGAAGACUUGAGUGCAGGAGAGGAAAGUGGAAUUCCCAGUGUAGCGGUGAAAUGCGUAGAUAUUGGGAGGAACACCAGUAGCGAAGGCGGCUUUCUGGACUGCAACUGACACUGAGGCACGAAAGCGUGGGUAGCAAACAGGAUUAGAUACCCUGGUAGUCCACGCUGUAAACGAUGAGUACUAGGUGUCGGGGGUUACCCCCCUCGGUGCCGCAGCUAACGCAUUAAGUACUCCGCCUGGGGAGU
This 353-nucleotide ribosomal RNA is filed under the name uncultured bacterium. Its description in RNAcentral is "bacterial SSU rRNA". It matches the Rfam family "Bacterial small subunit ribosomal RNA", at positions 527 to 881 of the family's 1533-position model. The record is from RNAcentral.